GAUGAACGCUGGCGGCGUGCCUAAUACAUGCAAGUCGAGCGAACGGACGAGAAGCUUGCUUCUCUGAUGUUAGCGGCGGACGGGUGAGUAACACGUGGAUAACCUACCUAUAAGACUGGGAUAACUUCGGGAAACCGGAGCUAAUACCGGAUGAUAUUUUGAACCGCAUGGUUCAAAAGUGAAAGACGGUCUUGCUGUCACUUAUAGAUGGAUCCGCGCUGCAUUAGCUAGUUGGUAAGGUAACGGCUUACCAAGGCAACGAUGCAUAGCCGACCUGAGAGGGUGAUCGGCCACACUGGAACUGGGACACGGUCCAGACUCCUACGGGAGGCAGCAGUAGGGAAUCUUCCGCAAUGGGCGAAAGCCUGACGGAGCAACGCCGCGUGAGUGAUGAAGGUCUUCGGAUCGUAAAACUCUGUUAUUAGGGAAGAACAUAUGUGUAAGUAACUGUGCACAUCUUGACGGUACCUAAUCAGAAAGCAACGGCUAACUACGUG
Molecule: ribosomal RNA, 497 nt
Filed under: uncultured bacterium
Lineage: Bacteria
Description: partial 16S ribosomal RNA
Rfam family: Bacterial small subunit ribosomal RNA
Source: RNAcentral